Molecule: ribosomal RNA, 1165 nt
Filed under: uncultured Sebacina
Lineage: Eukaryota; Fungi; Basidiomycota; Agaricomycetes; Sebacinales; Sebacinaceae
Description: eukaryotic LSU rRNA
Rfam family: Eukaryotic large subunit ribosomal RNA (bases 563-1165)
Source: RNAcentral
CUGCGGAAGGAUCAUUAAUGAAACUUCAAAGUCGGCCAAAGGUUGUUGCUGGUGAUUAUUCACAUGUGCACGCCUUUGGUCGCAAAUCCACACACACCUGUGCAUCUAUGACUCGAGGUUGUAAUGACUGAGAGUAACUUUUAUACACUCUUGUAUGUAAUGGAAUGUCUUUUUGUGCUAUAAUGUACAAUAUAAACAACUUUCAACAACGGAUCUCUUGGCUCUCGCAUCGAUGAAGAACGCAGCGAAAUGCGAUAAGUAAUGUGAAUUGCARAAUUCAGUGAAUCAUCGAAUCUUUGAACGCACCUUGCACCCUUUGGUAUUCCGAAGGGUAYGCCCGUUUGAGUGUCAUUGUAAUCUCACUUCUACAACUUUAUUGUUGUUUGAAUGUGGACUUGGAUGUUGCCGUUUUAUCACGGCUCGUCUUAAAUGCCUGAGUGUACCCUGUUUUGCAGCGUAUCCAGUGUAAUAAACAUUUCACUAGAGUUGGUCGAAAGACCGCGUUGACUAUAUGGGCUCUAUGCUUCAAACCGYCUGCCAUGUGGACAAUUUCUUGACAAUUUGACCUCAAAUCGGGUGGGACUACCCGCUGAACUUAAGCAUAUCAAUAAGCGGAGGAAAAGAAACUAACAAGGAUUCCCCUAGUAACGGCGAGUGAAGAGGGAAAAGCUCAAAUUUUAAAUCUGGUGUCUUUGACUCCCGAGUUGUAAUCUAGAGAAGUGUUUUCCGUGUCGGACCGUGUACAAGUUCCCUGGAACGGGGCGUCAUAGAGGGUGAGAAUCCCGUAUAUGCCACGGACUACCGAUGCUCUGUGAUACACUCUCAACGAGUCGAGUUGUUUGGGAAUGCAGCUCAAAAUGGGUGGUAAAUUCCAUCUAAAGCUAAAUAUUGGCGAGAGACCGAUAGCGAACAAGUACCGUGAGGGAAAGAUGAAAAGCACUUUGGAAAGAGAGUGAAACAGUACGUGAAAUUGUUGAAAGGGAAGCGUUUGAAGUCAGUCGCAUCUGUUGGGGUUCAGCCUGGCUUUUGCCUGGUGUAUUUCCUUUCCGAUGGGUCAGCAUCARUUUCGACCGAGGGAAAAAGACAUUUGGAAUGUGGCUGUCUUCGGGCAGUGUUAUAGCCUUGKGUUGUAUGUCUCGGUUGGGACUGAGGAUUGCAGCGCGCC